Long non-coding RNA from Solea senegalensis (Senegalese sole), 2171 nucleotides. RefSeq lists it as uncharacterized. The transcript is spliced from 6 exons. The record is from RefSeq and is a predicted model, not a curated record. Lineage: Eukaryota; Metazoa; Chordata; Actinopteri; Pleuronectiformes; Soleidae.
AUAAACACUUCUUAAAGUCUUCUAAUAGGAUCAGUUCUCUUAAUGCAUUGUAAUCACCAACUUUACACGUUGCACACCAUUUAUCAAAUAGAGUUCCUUUCUCACGGGCAAACUCGACAUAAGAGCAGAAGCUUUCUUGUGACCUCUGAACUUCUGUCGGUACGCUUCAGGCACAAGUUCAUAAACUCGUAAGAUAGCCUGUUUGACAGUUUCAUAAUUUAAGCUAUCUUCAACAGGAAGUGCAGCUAUAGCAUCCUGGGCUUUACCGUGCAUUUUACACUGGAGCAGAAGCGUCCAUUGUAAAGCAACCGCUAUCCUCUCAAAAACAUUGAAAUAGGAGUCAACUUCCUUAUCCCGAAAUACAGGUAUUAAGGCCACAUGCUUACUAAUGUCAAAUGCUAUUUUAGGUGAGCUGGUGGAAGGUGCAACAGCCUCCAACUGCUCGGUCAGAGUAAUCACACCCUUUUCCACCAAUCCCCCAAUCACUCUUUCUCUAAUUUCUUUUUUAAGCAUGGCCCUGCUAAAGGGAAUAUUGAAGUGAAUCGCUAUCUCUAUUAAAUCAUCCUUCCUGCAACUAUGUACUUGGUCAACAGUGGGAUGGGCUACAAAUAUCUUCAAGUUAAACUUUUCUGCCAUGGUGCGGAGUAGCUAGCAGCAUUCACUCAAGCAGACAGCUGAAUCCCUAAUGAGCUCACUUAACACACCGAGUAAUCAACGGAGCUCAACAAACUCUCACCAAUUUAACUAAACACGUGACAGACCCGAUUCCAUUGCCAGUUUACAAUUACCAAUGUGUAAUUUUCAUUUCGAUCCCGGACGAGCCCCCAUUUAUGUUACGACCCGGCCCGUUAUGGAGAGCAGUAACAAGUGAUUGGGAAUUAGAAAUGAGGUGGAAUGGGACAACUGGACUGGUUUAGGGUAAAGUCGGGCAUUUAAUUAAAUAAGGAGGGUGCACAUGCGCAAGAAAACAUAACAGAAGGAGGCUAUACAGGUGCUGACAAGUAACUAAAACACAAAAUAACAUCAACCGCUAUUUAGCUCUUGGAAAAAAAAGAAGGAACGCCAAAUAACUAAAGGAGGUCAGCACCCAUAAGCUUUACAUAACAUAACAGCACAAAACAAACAAGCAGCUAUUCUGCAAAAAGAACUCAACAAAAGCAAGAGAGAGACCAUCAAGGUACUCUCUAAACUAGUUAAAUGUACACAGAUUCAGCACACUGGCUAAAACCACUCAAAUAGGUUCCAGCCAGGCAAAACUAAACAAACACUCUAUUUCAAUAUGCUUUAACACAACGGACUGUCACAGUAUGUAACCAACGGCGAGGCGAACUGAUCACUGACUCACAGCCGCCAUGAACUGAGGGCACACAAGCUAUUUAUGUUGCAGCUGGGGUUGAUUGCAGAGUCUCGAUUGGUAGAUUUGGUAGACACACAGCUACACCAAUCACAGACGCAGGUGGACAGGAAGCAGGAAGUAGACCGCCUCUGCUUCGGCCGGACCAAUCCUCAUCAGGGAAUCACACAGCUUGCUUUGCAUGCCUGGCAGAAUCACUCAUGGGAACACACAAUGAACAUACACUAAACGGCAGCCAGCAGCGGCCGUAACCCUGUGGCUUUGUGAAAAAUGUUUUGUCUGUCAGUUUGAACCCUGCUGCAAGACAGCAACCACAAAUAUUACUGCAACUUUGGCGUCCACGGUGACUCCAGCGUCCACAGCAGACCAUCAGAAAGAAACAUGUAUGGUUACUAUGGUGCCAGAGGACACUGAAGACCAUCCCUACAGCAAAGACUUGGCUUAUGUGUGUGUCCAUUUAGAGCAGUGAUGUUACUGUGGCCAGACAAGAGGACACGUCUUCAAAGUGUCUUGUGCUAUGAAAGAUCCAACAAGCCAAACAGCAACCAUGUGAGUCCAGUUGUCUGUUAAUUCAUGUCAUUACUCAGGAUGAAGGCAUGCUGCAAUACCUUAAGAAAAUCAUCAGAGGCAACAUUGUGUCUCCCUGGGCCAAGAAGGAGGACAGGGUCUUCAUUCUUUUUGAAGAUGAUGACCAAGUGGACCAGGUGAUGCACUUCUUGUCUGGAGUGGUUGAAAGUCCACAGACAGAUAAGAAGUCUGCAGAUCCUGUGGCUUCAAUCAUACAGAGCUGUACUCUCCAUCUCCCUGGACAAAGACU